GGGGGUAUAGCUCAGUGGUAGAGCAUUUGACUGCAGAUCAAAAGGUCCCUGGUUCUAAUCUGGGUGCCCCCU
This is a non-coding RNA of Xenopus tropicalis (tropical clawed frog), 72 nucleotides long. The record is from Rfam. Lineage: Eukaryota; Metazoa; Chordata; Amphibia; Anura; Pipidae.